This 937-nucleotide ribosomal RNA is filed under the name uncultured bacterium. Its description in RNAcentral is "bacterial SSU rRNA". It matches the Rfam family "Bacterial small subunit ribosomal RNA", at positions 8 to 916 of the family's 1533-position model. The record is from RNAcentral.
AGAGUUUGAUCCUGGCUCAGAAUGAACGCUGGCGGCGUGCUUAACACAUGCAAGUCGCACGAGAAAGCCUUGGCUUGCCAGGGCGAGUAAAGUGGCGCACGGGUGAGUAACGCGUGGGUAAUCUACCCUUGAAUCGGGGAUAACCCUUCGAAAGGAGGGCUAACACCGGAUAACAUCGGUUUAUUUUCGAAUUUACCGAUCAAAUGUGGCCUCUACAUGUAAGCUACUGUUUGAGGAUGAGCCCGCGUACCAUUAGCUAGUUGGCAGGGUAAAGGCCUACCAAGGCGACGAUGGUUAGCUGGUCUGAGAGGAUGAUCAGCCACACUGGAACUGACACACGGUCCAGACUCCUACGGGAGGCAGCAGUGAGGAAUUUUGCGCAAUGGGGGAAACCCUGACGCAGCAACGCCGCGUGAGUGAUGAAGGCUUUCGGGUCGUAAAGCUCUGUCAAGUGGGAAGAACCUGCCUGUGGAUAAUACCCAUGGGUACUGACGGUACCACUGAAGGAAGCACCGGCUAACUCCGUGCCAGCAGCCGCGGUAAUACGGGGGGUGCAAGCGUUAUUCGGAUUUACUGGGCGUAAAGCGCGCGCAGGCGGUUUUGUAAGUCAGAUGUGAAAGCCCUGGGCUCAACCCGGGAAGUGCAUCUGAUACUGUAAGACUUGAGUAUGGGAGAGGGAAGUGGAAUUCCUGGUGUAGAGGUGAAAUUCGUAGAUAUCAGGAGGAACAUCGGUGGCGAAGGCGACUUCCUGGACCAAUACUGACGCUGAGGCGCGAAGGCGUGGGGAGCAAACAGGAUUAGAUACCCUGGUAGUCCACGCAGUAAACGGUGAUCACUAGGUGUAGCGGGUAUUGACCCCUGCUGUGCCGCAGCUAACGCAUUAAGUGAUCCGCCUGGGGAGUACGAUCGCAAGAUUAAAACUCAAAGGAAUUGACGG